ACGGGAGGCAGCAGUGAGGAAUAUUGGUCAAUGGGCGGAAGCCUGAACUAGCCGAGUCGCGUGAAGGAAGAAGGUAUUAUGUAUUGUAAACUUCUUUAGACGCAGAGAAAUAAGGCGCUCGAGAGCGCUGAUGCUAGUAUGCGUAGAAUAAGGAUCGGCUAACUCCGUGCCAGCAGCCGCGGUAAUACGGAGGAUCCGAGCGUUAUCCGGAUUUAUUGGGUUUAAAGGGUGCGCAGGCGGCCCUGUAGGUCAGCGGUUAAAUCGUGGAGCUCAACUCCAUCCCGCCGUUGAUACUGCAGGGCUUGAUUGCGGUCGAGGUUGGCGGAAUUCGCCGUGUAGCGGUGAAAUGCAUAGAUAUGGCGAAGAACUCCGAUUGCGUAGGCAGCUGACCAGGCCGUAAAUGACGCUCAUGCACGAAAGUGCGGGGAUCGAACAGGAUUAGAUACCCUGGUA
This 453-nucleotide ribosomal RNA is filed under the name uncultured Sphingobacterium sp. Its description in RNAcentral is "partial 16S ribosomal RNA". It matches the Rfam family "Bacterial small subunit ribosomal RNA", at positions 341 to 792 of the family's 1533-position model. Lineage: Bacteria; Pseudomonadati; Bacteroidota; Sphingobacteriia; Sphingobacteriales; Sphingobacteriaceae. The record is from RNAcentral.